AGCCGGCGUAGCUCAAUCGGCAGAGCAGCUGAUUUGUAAUCAGCAGGUUUUGGGUUCGAGUCCCAACGCCGGCUCCAU
This 78-nucleotide transfer RNA is filed under the name Coprothermobacter proteolyticus DSM 5265. RNAcentral's name for it is "tRNA-Thr". It matches the Rfam family "tRNA". Rfam says of the family: Transfer RNA (tRNA) molecules are approximately 80 nucleotides in length. Their secondary structure includes four short double-helical elements and three loops (D, anti-codon, and T loops). Lineage: Bacteria; Pseudomonadati; Coprothermobacterota; Coprothermobacteria; Coprothermobacterales; Coprothermobacteraceae. The record is from RNAcentral.